UAGCACAUGCAAGUCGAGCGAGGUAGCAAUACCUAGCGGCAGACGGGUGAGUAACAUGUGGGAAUCUGCCUUUUGGUUCGGAACAACACGGGGAAACUUGUGCUAAUACCGGAUAAGUCUUUACGGAGAAAGCUUUAUGCACCAUUGGAUGAGCCCGCACUUGAUUAGUUAGUUGGUAGGGUAAUGGCCUACCAAGACUGUGAUCAAUAGCUGAUUUGAGAGGAUGAUCAGCCACAUUGGGACUGAGAUACGGCCCAGACUCC
This 263-nucleotide ribosomal RNA is filed under the name uncultured bacterium. Its description in RNAcentral is "partial 16S ribosomal RNA". It matches the Rfam family "Bacterial small subunit ribosomal RNA", at positions 49 to 339 of the family's 1533-position model. The record is from RNAcentral.